RNAcentral lists this long non-coding RNA (504 nucleotides) under Carica papaya (papaya). RNAcentral's name for it is "long non-coding RNA (CPAP_LNC012638)". The record is from RNAcentral. Lineage: Eukaryota; Viridiplantae; Streptophyta; Magnoliopsida; Brassicales; Caricaceae.
AAGACAAUGCAACUUCCAAUAUGAGGGGAAAAAAAGGUAAACCAAUCCGAGGAUCAAGCAAUACGUGAAAAUAAACACAUCACCAUAUUGUAAAGUACUGAGUUAUUAACCCAACCUCUUAGAGCAGUCUGCAAUUAGGAUCCUGCCUCUUCCAGUGUUUUCCACACUUGAUCAUGAGCUGGCAUCCUGUGAUUCUACCGCUCAAGAGAAUUGAGCUAAAAGCAUGAGAGCAGGUAUAUAUUUCUCUGACUACAAACAAUUGUUUAUAAAACAUUGCUGAAAGCCGUGACCAUAAAUAUAAAAUAAGAGAAUAUAUUUCUUUCUAAAGUUGGACUGCCAAUAUACAUUGUAUAAUCAAGACCAUGGAAAACCUUUACAAAGUUACUGAUCUUGAAAAAGUUUUUCAAACCUAACCUGAAACUGAUACCACAGAUAAUCCAUCUACAUGGUUGAAAAAUCACGUAUAUAAUCAUCCCACAUUUCAGAAGCAAUAUCAUCACGCAA